Long non-coding RNA from Perognathus longimembris pacificus (Pacific pocket mouse), 1279 nucleotides. RefSeq lists it as uncharacterized. The record is from RefSeq and is a predicted model, not a curated record. Lineage: Eukaryota; Metazoa; Chordata; Mammalia; Rodentia; Heteromyidae. The transcript is spliced from 3 exons.
GGCAGAAUGUGAUCUCUUUUCCUUUUCUUUUCCACAUAUGUGUCUCAUCACUCCAAAGAGAUGGAUUAACAUUUAACGUUCACUCAUAUAUCUCAUAGUCAUCCUUCCCUUUUUCCUUUUGUUUCCAAAGACUGUUAAGACUUGAGGUUCAUGGAAACCAUCUAAAAUCUAUACUAAAAAAGGCCUACAGUGACAUAAAAGAAACAUUGUUUUUUAAGAAUCAGAAAACCUUUAUUCUUGUCCUGGUUUGUCUAUGGAUCAUUCAGAUGGCCUUGUUAUGAAGGUCAGGUACCUCUCAAGGCUCAGGAUUUUGGUUUGUUGGUUUUUUUUAAUGAAAGCUUUAGGUACUUUCUAAAGCUAGGAUUCAAUAAUCUUGCAAUAGUACUUUACUAAAGUACCUUCAAGGGCUCCAGAUUAAAACUUGUCAUAGAAAUUCAUCUUAUUUCAAUUAAUAACAUCAAUAUUCUAGAAUAACAUUAUCUUUUCAUAUCACUGUAGCCCAUAUGCAUUGCUUUACUAAAUUUGACAGUCAUAUUCCUGGUUAAAAAUUUCUGAGAGGGUAUAAUUAAUGAUCAUGACAAUUUCAAAAAUAAUUUUUCAAAAGGAGAAUUUUGGAAUAAGUUCCUGAAUCUCAAAUUGACAAACAAAAAGCAACAGCAUGAUGGAGAAGUGCUGUUUACUUUUAGAGUGUGUGAAUCCUGAAAGAUAAAAGUUGUUCAACAUAAUUUAGUUCACUCUGGAGUACAGUUAAAUAGACAUGAUGGAUGGCAAGUUGUCUUGAUCUUUUCCUUUUGUUAAAUUAUGAUAGAUGAGUGACGCUCACUGAUGAAGUUCCAGCAGACGUGUUUGAACUCUUUGUAUAAAGAGCUUCCCAUCCACAUUUUUUCCACAUCUAUCUCCAUCAGAACAAUGUGACACUCUCAAUUAUGAUAAAGGGAAGGCCAGAACACUUAGAAAAUAAGCCACUCAGUACUGGGUUGUGGUAUGAAGUGAAAUCAACAUGUCAGAUAAACAAGUCUGAGGCAACAACUCUAUAGUACUUGGGGCCUCCAAGAAACUUUCUAUACACUGAGAAUAUAGUCCAGGUAGACUACUUGUCAAAAGGAAGUAUAACAUAGACAUAAGUAGGUCUCGUCUAGGGAAUGAAAAAAAAUUGUUUCUGGCUACAUUAAUGACUUGCUUUUAGGGAAAGUAUUAACUAUGAGGCACUGGCAGAUAUUCAGGUUCCAUGUUUCCUGAGUAAUGCCACAGUCAUUGAUAAAUGAUUUUAAUUAACUGU